This is a long non-coding RNA of Ornithorhynchus anatinus (platypus), 876 nucleotides long. RefSeq lists it as uncharacterized. The record is from RefSeq and is a predicted model, not a curated record. NCBI's taxonomy places the organism in Eukaryota, Metazoa, Chordata, Mammalia, Monotremata, Ornithorhynchidae. The transcript is spliced from 3 exons.
AGCCGGGAUCAGAACCCACGACCUCCGAUUCCCAAGUCCGUGCUCUUUCCACUAAGCCCCGCUGCUUCUCUAAGAGCGCACCGACCACAUCCGACGUUCUCAGACUGGACUAAUAGUCCAUCCAUCUCCACUGUCCACCGUUCUUGAGCUGGAACAACUGUUCGCCGGCCCCAUUCACCGUUCUCAGCCUGGGCCAACGGUUUACUAACCCCGUCCACCAUGCACAAGCUGGACUGAUAGCGCACCGACCAGGCCACCGUUGUUGGGCCGGACCGACGGUGCACUGACCACGUCCCAGGUUCUCUGUCGGGGAAGCCACAGGUCAGAGCCGGGGACAGAGGAGACCAUGCAACACCUGCUCCACGCCGGAGAGAAAGAAAACGAUAUUUUCACCCGAGUUGCCCAAUACCCACUGGAAGACGAGCUGAGGCUGGGGCGAGGAGGCGGCGCCUGGCACGGGAGUCCCCGGAUCGGCCUUUCGGCUCCCUCGACUCUUUUCGCUUUUCCGCCUGCCCGCCCCACCCCAGAAAGGGGACCAACAUCAGGACCCCAUCAGCUCCGCUUCAGCGCGGGCCUCCGACCUCGGCCCUCCCGGCCCGAGAGCGGCGGAAAAUCUUCCAAGUCCGCUCUCCGCACCGCUCCUGAAACCCGGCUCCCAUAUAGGACCGGCUGGCCCCGGACCAAGACAGUCAAUCCUUGAACGCUUACUACGUGCACAGGAAUGUACUGAGCGCUCGGGUGACAGCCCGCGCUCCGGAUUUCCCGACGAGAUCCUUUCGGCUCAAGCAGAGAAGCCGUGGACGGCGGGAGGAGAAGACGGAGGACUUCUUUGGGAGAUGAAGUAACUGAGGCACCGAGAAGUGAAGCGACUCGCCC